GCACAAUUGAGUACAUUAAAGGAGAUGGUUAACACAAAGAAUCUGAUAACAGAUACAGCUUUUCUUGAAUGACCUAUUCUAGUUGUGUGUUAUUAACUUUCUCUUGAAGUUUGUUUUUUUAGAAAACUACGGAGAUGAUGCCAAUUGAGAAGGAAGACAAAUAUCUGUGAGAAGACCAACCAUUUAACAUGUUUAUUUAUUUCAGGAAAAAUACAGUCCCAGUUUAUAGAGGACCUUAAUAUGUAGUUUUAUGAUAUUUUAUUUCAUAUUAAGGAUAAGCCUCUAAACUCAUUCAUUACAGUCAGGUGGUCCAAAUUCCAAAUUAUUUUUGUUUUUAUUAGUUUAGCACACCUGCACUUCCAGCUAUGUUUUAUUUUUGUAUUUUGAUAC
Molecule: non-coding RNA, 390 nt
Organism: Pelobates cultripes (western spadefoot toad)
Lineage: Eukaryota; Metazoa; Chordata; Amphibia; Anura; Pelobatidae
Source: the annotation of a GenBank genome assembly